UCUGUGUAUAAACUGUAUUGAUAAAUUUAAACCAAUAUCUGACUGAAAGACUGAACUAUCACAGAACUGCUCACUCAGUUUUGUUGCUUUUGACUUGAAGGCUUUUCUUCCAGCCACUUGUUUGUAUGUGAAUGGUGCAGACAUGGAUAUAUCAUGAGGAUGGACCGACAUAUGGAAUUGCCUUCGAAAGAAUAUCAAACUGGAUUUCUUUGACUGGAUAUUUCACAUCAUAAGUCCAGAUGAGUCUAUAGUGUAUUUCUUAAGAUGUUAGGAUACUUUCCAUUACCAAAGGAUAUUGUCAGAGGGCUGACUGAAGUGUGCCGACCCACUAACCUUUGGGAAUCCCAUCCGUCUCACGGUCAAACCAAAAAAUCAAUUGGCAACUCCUCCAUUACUGUCCAUUUUGUCCCCUUUGGGGGCAAAUGGACCGGAUAUUUGCCUGGCCGCCGGGUUCUUUCCUGCGGAUAAGACUAUGAUUUUGACUGUGGAAGGUAAAAGCCCGGUGAAACUUAACACCAGCGAAGCACCCUUGUUUCAUUCACAACCUAUUAUUAUGCUGGAUUCAGUAAAGAUGAUGAAUCGAUGAAAUAUGAUGAAGUGCAAAAAUGUGAAAUGGAUGGACGAACAGUAGACAAAAGUGUUGACGUUCCUGAAACAACAGAAAUACCCCCAAUACCGACUCAGUUUUGUCCAACUAGUCUUGGUGCCUCAGAGUUCAUAGACACUGGUGUUCCAAAAAUGAACUCCAUGAAUCUUCUUGUGUCAGGUCUGAGAAUUCUGCUUGCUAAAUGUGUUGCAGUUAAUGCAUUGAUGACUGUCAAGGCGUUCAUAUUUUAAAGGUUCAAUUCAGACAAAUCAUCUGAAUAAUCAAAAAUUGCAACUGUAUCUUGAUCAAAUAUUCAUGCCAAACAGACAAAAGUGAUUAUAGUCAGCCACAAGGUCACUGUUUAUACACUACCAGUCAAAACUUUGGGAUCAGAACGAUUUUUUAUGUUUUUUACAGGAGUUUCUCAUGCUCAUCAAGGCUGCAUUUAUUUGAUCAAAAAAUA
Carassius auratus (goldfish) is the source of this 1049-nucleotide long non-coding RNA. RefSeq lists it as uncharacterized. The transcript is spliced from 4 exons. NCBI's taxonomy places the organism in Eukaryota, Metazoa, Chordata, Actinopteri, Cypriniformes, Cyprinidae. The record is from RefSeq and is a predicted model, not a curated record.